GGAAUAUUGCCCAAUGGGGGAAACCCUGAGGCAGCAAAGCCGCGUGGAUGAAGAAGACCUUCGGGUUGUAAAAUCCUUUUCUGAGGGAAGAAGAUGACGGUACCUCAGGAAUAAGUACCGGCUAACUACGUGCCAGCAGCCGCGGUAAAACGUAGGGGGCGAGCGUUAUCCGGAUUUACUGGGCGUAAAGCGCACGUAGGCGGCACUGAAAGUUGGAUGUGAAAGCUCCUGGCUUAACUGGGAGAGGUCGUUCAAAACUCCAGUGCUCGAGGACGGAAGAGGAGAGUAGAAUUCCCGGUGUAGUGGUGGAAUGCGUAGAUAUCGGGAGGAAUACCGGUGGCGAAGGCGACUCUCUGGUUCGUUACUGACGCUGAGGUGCGAAAGCGUGGGGAGCAAAC
This 398-nucleotide ribosomal RNA is filed under the name uncultured bacterium. Its description in RNAcentral is "bacterial SSU rRNA". It matches the Rfam family "Bacterial small subunit ribosomal RNA", at positions 358 to 773 of the family's 1533-position model. The record is from RNAcentral.